GGAAGGGCUGUAACUCAAUGGUAGAGCAUCUGUUUUAUAUGCACAAGGUCCCAGGUUCCAUUCCUGGCCUCUCUA
Molecule: non-coding RNA, 75 nt
Organism: Podarcis lilfordi (Lilford's wall lizard)
Lineage: Eukaryota; Metazoa; Chordata; Lepidosauria; Squamata; Lacertidae
Source: the annotation of a GenBank genome assembly